GACGAACCGUGCGAACGUUGUUCGGAAUCACUGGGCUUAAAGGGCGCGUAGGCGGGCGGUCAAGUCAGAGGUGAAAUCCCACGGCUCAACCGUGGAAGUGCCCCUGAUACUGGCCGUCUCGAGGGAGGUAGGGGCGUGCGGAACUUCCGGUGGAGCGGUGAAAUGCGUAGAUAUCGGAAGGAACACCGGUGGCGAAAGCGGCGCGCUGGAUCUCUACUGACGCUGAGGAACGAAAGCUAGGGGAGCGAACGGG
Molecule: ribosomal RNA, 253 nt
Filed under: uncultured bacterium
Lineage: Bacteria
Description: partial 16S ribosomal RNA
Rfam family: Bacterial small subunit ribosomal RNA
Source: RNAcentral